AUUUCAAUUUGUAAGUGGCAACAGAGGAAAAAGUGCCUUCCCAUUGAAGGUGCCAGGAGAAGAAAGAGAGGAAGAAUGGCAGAAUGAGGUCCAAAUCAACCACAGAAAGGUCAGAGUAAUGACAACAGGAAAAAAAAAAAAAAAAAAAAAAAAAAGAAGUAGGGGAAGUAGGAGAGUAGAGGAAUCACUUUGGGGCUAUCACAGCAGCAUCUGAAAUUUUGUCCCUUCUAUUUUUCCUGGAGGCUGUGCAGAGAGCGAGUAGGGGAAGAUGCAGCAAAUUUCUUAAAGAUGUUUGGAAUAUGAGGAUGUCAGCCAAGUCUCAGAGAACUUGUUGGGGGCUAGUGGCAGCCCUACCUGCAUUUUCUGAUAAGUUCUCUUUUAGAGGGAUUCCCUUUCUAGAGACCUAAAGAGCUUCUCGUUAAUCAGACACUGCUUCUGGGGACAGCUGGAAAACAGAAGAAAAAGGAGGCCCAUCCACUUAGUGUUCCUCAGUAUGAUCUCAAGACUAAACAACUUGCACAGACUUACAAGGGGAGGCCAGUGUUACAAGUGUCAGCAGUGCACAUGCUCACAAUGUUUCAAGAAUGAAAAACUAAUACAACAGAAAAAUCAGACUCAAAAGAUUUGUAUUC
RNAcentral lists this long non-coding RNA (632 nucleotides) under Anser brachyrhynchus (Pink-footed goose). Its description in RNAcentral is "lncRNA (ENSABRG00000000021.1)". The record is from RNAcentral. Lineage: Eukaryota; Metazoa; Chordata; Aves; Anseriformes; Anatidae.